GAUGAACGCUGGCGGCGUGCCUAAUACAUGCAAGUCGAGCGAACAGAUAAGGAGCUUGCUCCUUUGACGUUAGCGGCGGACGGGUGAGUAACACGUGGGUAACCUACCUAUAAGACUGGGAUAACUUCGGGACACCGGAGCUAAUACCGGAUAAUAUUUCGAACCGCAUGGUUCGAUAGUGAAAGAUGGUUUUGCUAUCACUUAUAGAUGGACCCGCGCCGUAUUAGCUAGUUGGUAAGGUAACGGCUUACCAAGGCGACGAUACGUAGCCGACCUGAGAGGGUGAUCAGCCACACUGGAACUGAGACACGGUCCAGACUCCUACGGGAGGCAGCAGUAGGGAAUCUUCCGCAAUGGGCGAAAGCCUGACGGAGCAACGCCGCGUGAGUGAUGAAGGUCUUCGGAUCGUAAAACUCUGUUAUUAGGGAAGAACAUACGUGUAAGUAACUGUGCACGUCUUGACGGUACCUAAUCAGAAAGCCACGGCUAACUACGUG
RNAcentral lists this ribosomal RNA (497 nucleotides) under uncultured bacterium. RNAcentral's name for it is "partial 16S ribosomal RNA". It matches the Rfam family "Bacterial small subunit ribosomal RNA", at positions 28 to 507 of the family's 1533-position model. The record is from RNAcentral.